AAAAAUAAAAAAAAAAUUCCACAAAAUUAAAAUAAAUGUGAAUAUUCAUCAAACUUCAAAUAACAUAACACUAAAAAUAAUAAUAGCUAAUAGGCAUUCAAGUAAUAAUUUUGCAAUCCACAUAAAAUAAAAAAUAAAUAAACUACUAAACAUUUAAGAUGGUAAUAUAUUGAAACUUGAUGAUCUUUAAUGUCUUAAAACUAAAGUCAAGCAAUCAUAA
RNAcentral lists this unclassified non-coding RNA (220 nucleotides) under Hevea brasiliensis (rubber tree). The record is from RNAcentral. Lineage: Eukaryota; Viridiplantae; Streptophyta; Magnoliopsida; Malpighiales; Euphorbiaceae.